GUCUUCGUGUCGCUCAUCUACCAUGUCCAAAGUACGUGGUAAUAGUCUUCUUUGUCGGAAGAUUGUGGCGGACGAGGUUUGGAUUCCCUGUGCUCCGCCUAUUUGGUCUGAUCGAUGGGCGUCUUGCCCUUGACCUUAGCGGCAGGGGGGCUGGAGCCCUUCCCUUGCCGUUUUGACUUGAAGGCUUGUGGGCCUGAGGUCUCCAUCAAGCGGUGUGGGGUAGAGUUCAUAACAGAACCCUCUCCACUGAGGCCAUUACUGUGGCGUUUAGC
Molecule: non-coding RNA, 272 nt
Organism: Pelobates cultripes (western spadefoot toad)
Lineage: Eukaryota; Metazoa; Chordata; Amphibia; Anura; Pelobatidae
Source: the annotation of a GenBank genome assembly